CUUAUUACUUUGAAACUGUAGACCCCGAGGGAAAUGUGAGAGAAUUUAACCUUACAGAUGGUGGUGUUUCUGCUAAUAAUCCGGGCCUAUAGCCUGCCUACAGCAGUGUUUCAGUAAAAUUCGGCUUAAACCAUGUCUAUAGCUGCAUUUCUUUAAACUCGGCUACAGGUUUGGUAUUAAAAAAAAAUAAAAAAAAAUAAAAAAAUAAAAAAAACCUCAGAUUAUUCUCUCUCUAAUCUGGUCUCUCACUCUCCCUUUGACUCCAAACCCUCACCGCCGAUCCCCCCCUCUACCACCGAUCCUCCUCACCAUGGCCGAAGCCUUUCACAUCUCAGCCUCAACUUCUCUCUAAAACCAAAACCUAUAAACUCUCCCACUCUAGAUCGGUCUCACCCUCUCUUCGAUCUAAAUGACGCACAGCCUCCUAGCUCCGUCGUGAAGCCCAGCCGCCACCACCACGAUGGUGGUUCCCAAUCUCUCAUCACUUCACGGAUCUGCCAAGAACCGUGGCAGAUCCAGUUCCAGUUUCAGUUCCAGGACCAGGUCGUUAAAAUUAUUGGGUUGAUUUCAAUCCAACCGUUUUUGGGCAGAGAGGAGAGAACAGAUUCGGAGAUUUGGUUGCAGAAAAGUCCAAUCGUUUCGUUGGAACGAACUGAUUGGCCUUGGAAGGUGUUUUUGCCUCAAGGGUCGGAUAAGGAUCAUGAGGCAGUCAAUGUGAGUGGGCCCAACGCGGUUGAUAUUUUGGGUUUGGAGUAUCCGGAAACAGUUGUGUUUGUUGGGGGAUUUGACCCAUUACAGGAUUGGCAGAGGAGUUACUAUGAGUGGUUGAAGAAAUCUGGGAAACAGGCUCCCUUAAUUGAGUAUCCAGACAUGAUGCAUGCGUUUUAUGUGUUUCUGGAAUUGCCUCAGUCGUCUCAGUUGAUAGCACAGCCAGCCUCCCCUCCUGAGUGCUAUGGUUCAUGCCAUAUACAGCAGGACUAGUGAUAUGCAAUUGGUUAGAAAAUCUCUCCCUGCACU
Long non-coding RNA from Quercus lobata, 1017 nucleotides. RefSeq lists it as uncharacterized. Lineage: Eukaryota; Viridiplantae; Streptophyta; Magnoliopsida; Fagales; Fagaceae. The record is from RefSeq and is a predicted model, not a curated record. The transcript has 3 exons.